UGCCUACGGGGGGCAGCAGUGGGGGAUAUUGGAUAAUGGGGGGAACCCUGAUCCAGCGCCGCCGCGUGAGUGAAGAAGUAUUUCGGUAUGUAAAGCUCUGUCAGCAGGGAAGAAAGCAAUGACGGUACCUGAUUAAGAAGCCCCGGCUAACUACGUGCCAGCAGCCGCGGUAAUACGUAGGGGGCAAGCGUUAUCCGGAUUUACUGGGUGUAAAGGGAGCGUAGACGGUGAUGCAAGUCAGAAGUGAAAGCCCGGGGCUCAACUCCGGGACUGCUUUUGAAACUGUGUGACUGGAGUGCA
RNAcentral lists this ribosomal RNA (300 nucleotides) under uncultured bacterium. RNAcentral describes it as "bacterial SSU rRNA". It matches the Rfam family "Bacterial small subunit ribosomal RNA", at positions 335 to 650 of the family's 1533-position model. The record is from RNAcentral.